AUAAACUGUAAACAGCAAUAAUGUUCAGCAAAGUAAGAUUUACAAAAAAGGUCAACAUGACCGAAAUGGUCAGUUGACCCCUUUAGGAGUUAUUGCCCUUUAUAGUCAAUUUUUAACCAUUUUUCGUAAAUCUUAGUUAUCUUUUACAAAAAUCUUCUUCUCUGAAACUACUGGGCCAAAUUAAUCCAAACUUGGCCAAAAUCAUCAUUGGGGUAUCUAGUUUAAAAAAUGUGUGGCGUGACCCUGCCAACCAACCAAAAUGGCCACCAUGGCUAAAAAUAGAACAUAGGGGUAAAAUGUAGAUUUUGGCUUAUAUCUCUGAAACCAAAGUAUUUAGAGCAAAUCUGACAAGGGAUAAAUUGUUUAUCAGGUCAAGAUCUAUCUGCCCUGUUGUUGGGUUGCUGGCCCAGAAUUAGUAAUUUUAAGGAAAUUUUGCAGUUUUUGGUUAUUAUCUUGAAUAUUAUAAUAGAUAGAGAUAAAC
This 481-nucleotide long non-coding RNA is filed under the name Mytilus galloprovincialis (Mediterranean mussel). Lineage: Eukaryota; Metazoa; Mollusca; Bivalvia; Mytilida; Mytilidae. The record is from RNAcentral.